Molecule: long non-coding RNA, 1638 nt
Organism: Poecilia latipinna (sailfin molly)
Lineage: Eukaryota; Metazoa; Chordata; Actinopteri; Cyprinodontiformes; Poeciliidae
Exons: 3
Source: RefSeq, a predicted model, not a curated record
UUUUGUUAUCUGAUGUUAACAGUGUACUCUUGGCCCACCGAUUUCACUAUAUUCAAGCUUCGUUAGCUAAAGGGGUUUUGUCGUAUUUUUUAUAUGUUUCCACGCAGAUAGCCUCCCAAGAAUUUAUUCUGCCCAGGUCCCCAGGAUGUUCAAGUGUUUGUAUCCGCUCUACAAAUAUCUGUCAUCCAUGUUUCUCCUCAUCCGGCUUCCUCCUCCCCCUCCUGCUGCUCCUGCUGCUGCUAGCUGUCCACCUCUCUCUUCCUAGCGCUGACUCUGACUCUCCCUCCGCCAUUCGAUGCUCCACAAAAAUCUCGUGCAGCAAAUUUGAGAAGGUCCUCGCUGCAGCAAACAGAAAGGGGCGGGGACGGACCACUGUCAGUCCCAUACCUUAUUUGGAAAUGGGACUAUUGCACUCCGGAAGUGAAGGGGGCGCUAUUUUCCUAAUUGCUAGUAUAAACACCUUAAAGGAAAGACGUUUGAGAGGUUAUUCCAUUGUUCCACGUGUUCGGCACACGAUCCAAAAUGGAAAAGGCACAAAGUCAGCAAAAGGUAUUUUUAUCUUCCUAAAACUUUUUUCACAUAGUAAAUCAAUACGCUUUUCUAGAUGAUAUUGAACAUAUAAUAAACAGCCGUAAACUAUUGAAAUUCGUAAUUAAAAGAGGCUAAGGUUAAAUUUAGCAUGUAGCAUAGCUAAUUAUUUCCCUGCAGGGCACCAUUACAUAAAAAUAGAAAAGUAGAUAAAAUGUAUAAUUGAGAAGUGUAUUUUAUGCUCAAACUUUAUUUUUUAUUUUCUUUAACAACCUUCGGAACGGAGAGAAGAUUCUUCCGUAUUGCAUGAAUGAUGGAUAUUGCUGUUCCCUUUGCUCAUACAGUGCCGAUGAGUCGUUCAAGGUAGUGAACCAUAUAACAAGAACUGCUACGGUUCAACAUAACGACUCUGUGUGCUGAAGACCACACCUAUGCAAAAGCAACCAAAGCACAAAUUGAGGUACAAAAGAUACCGCCAAUUUUGCAGGUAAGAUUUAUUCAUAAUCAUAUGCGUCAUAGCCAUUCUUUGGCUGGAUGGUAAGGACCUUUGACUUUUUUCACAUAAAACAUGUAAAAUUAGAUUUCAACUACAUGAAAUUGAUCAUUCAUUUACAGGUGAGAUCAAUUGGGGUAAAUUUUCAGUCAUUCAAGGCAGAAAACCGAAUUCCUUUUGCUGUUGUUACGUGUUCUUCCUGCAACCGGCAAUAUAAAGACUGUGUGGGCUUCACUGGAAAUGGAAGACGAGGAGAGUACCCUCGUUACUACUCUGAUGGCAUACCUGGACACUGCCCUGGAUGUCAGUACUGAAUGCAAGGAGAAUAUUUGUUGUUUUCCAGUCUUUCACACAUUUCAGUUGUCACACAUUGUUCUUUUUUGGCGACAUGUCUUUUUAAAUCUGUUCUGCUGACAUUUGGACUUCUUCAGUCAUCCUUUUGUUUUUCACAAUGUGUUCUUUAAACAUUAUGUACAUUUUUGAGUGUUCCUUUUGUUGUAGUUCAGUUGAUUUAUAUUAUUUAGUUUUUUUUUGUAGAACUGUUGUUUCCAGGAAAAGUUACAUUGUGGCUCUAAUAUAUUAAAGAGAAAGUAGAACCAAUAAAGUAGUUGUAAAUA